This 492-nucleotide ribosomal RNA is filed under the name uncultured bacterium. RNAcentral describes it as "partial 16S ribosomal RNA". It matches the Rfam family "Bacterial small subunit ribosomal RNA", at positions 29 to 507 of the family's 1533-position model. The record is from RNAcentral.
AGUGAACGCUGGCGGUAGGCCUAACACAUGCAAGUCGAACGGCAGCACAGUAAGAGCUUGCUCUUACGGGUGGUGAGUGGCGGACGGGUGAGGAAUACAUCGGAAUCUACUUUUUCGUGGGGGAUAACGUAGGGAAACUUACGCUAAUACCGCAUACGACCUACGGGUGAAAGCAGGGGAUCUUCGGACCUUGCGCGAUUGAAUGAGCCGAUGUCGGAUUAGCUAGUUGGCGGGGUAAAGGCCCACCAAGGCGACGAUCCGUAGCUGGUCUGAGAGGAUGAUCAGCCACACUGGAACUGAGACACGGUCCAGACUCCUACGGGAGGCAGCAAUGGGGAAUAUUGGACAAUGGGCGUAAGCCUGAUCCAGCCAUACCGCGUGGGUGAAGAAGGCCUUCGGGUUGUAAAGCCCUUUUGUUGGGAAAGAAAAGCAGCAGGUUAAUACCCCGCUGUUCUGACGGUACCCAAAGAAUAAGCACCGGCUAACUUCGUG